Molecule: ribosomal RNA, 441 nt
Filed under: uncultured bacterium
Lineage: Bacteria
Description: partial 16S ribosomal RNA
Rfam family: Bacterial small subunit ribosomal RNA
Source: RNAcentral
CCUACGGGUGGCAGCAGUGGGGAAUAUUGCACAAUGGGGGAAACCCUGAUGCAGCGACGCCGCGUGAGUGAAGAAGUAUUUCGGUAUGUAAAGCUCUAUCAGCAGGGAAGAAAAAAGACGGUACCUGACUAAGAAGCCCCGGCUAACUACGUGCCAGCAGCCGCGGUAAUACGUAGGGGGCAAGCGUUAUCCGGAAUUACUGGGUGUAAAGGGUGCGUAGGUGGCAUGGUAAGUCAGAAGUGAAAGCCCGGGGCUUAACCCCGGGACUGCUUGUGAAACUGUCAUGCUGGAGUGCAGGAGAGGUAAGCGGAAUUCCUAGUGUAGCGGUGAAAUGCGUAGAUAUUAGGAGGAACACCAGUGGCGAAGGCGGCUCUCUGGUCUGCAACUGACGCUGAGGCUCGAAAGCAUGGGUAGCGAACAGGAUUAGAUACCCCGGUAGUC